CAGCAGCCGCGGUAAUACCGGCGGCCCGAGUGGCGGUCACUAUUAUUGGGCUUAAAGCGUCCGUAGCCGGGUUGGGAAGUCCUCCGGGAAAUCUGGCCGCUUAACGGUCAGAAUGCCGGAGGAUACUCCCAGCCUAGGGAGCGGGAGAGGCCGAGGGUAUUCCCGGAGUAGGGGUGAAAUCCUAUAAUCCCGGGAGGACCACCUGGUGCGAAGGCGCUCGGCUGGAACGCGUCCGACGGUGAGGGACGAAGGCCAGGGGAGCAAACCGGAUUAGAUACCCGGGUAGUCCUGGCUGUAAACGAUGCGGACUUUGUGUCGGACAAGCUAUGAGCUUGUCCGGUGCCGGAGGGAAACCGUUAAGUCCGCCGCCUGGGGAGUACGGCCACAAGGCUGAAACUUAAAGGAAUUGGCGGG
Molecule: ribosomal RNA, 414 nt
Filed under: uncultured microorganism
Description: bacterial SSU rRNA
Rfam family: Archaeal small subunit ribosomal RNA
Source: RNAcentral